UACGUAGGGAGCAAGCGUUGUCCGGAAUUACUGGGUGUAAAGGGAGCGUAGGCGGGAAAGAAAGUUGAAUGUUAAACCUAUCGGCUCAACCGAUAGUUGCGUUCAAAACUUCUAUUCUUGAGUGAAGUAGAGGCAGGCGGAAUUCCUAGUGUAGCGGUGAAAUGCGUAGAUAUUAGGAGGAACACCAGUGGCGAAGGCGGCCUGCUGGGCUUUAACUGACGCUGAGGCUCGAAAGCGUGGGGAGCAAACA
RNAcentral lists this ribosomal RNA (250 nucleotides) under uncultured bacterium. RNAcentral's name for it is "partial 16S ribosomal RNA". It matches the Rfam family "Bacterial small subunit ribosomal RNA", at positions 524 to 774 of the family's 1533-position model. The record is from RNAcentral.